Molecule: transfer RNA, 76 nt
Filed under: Burkholderia cepacia
Lineage: Bacteria; Pseudomonadati; Pseudomonadota; Betaproteobacteria; Burkholderiales; Burkholderiaceae
Also listed under: 6 other names
Description: tRNA-Glu
Rfam family: tRNA
About the family: Transfer RNA (tRNA) molecules are approximately 80 nucleotides in length. Their secondary structure includes four short double-helical elements and three loops (D, anti-codon, and T loops). Further hydrogen bonds mediate the characteristic L-shaped molecular structure. tRNAs have two regions of fundamental functional importance: the anti-codon, which is responsible for specific mRNA codon recognition, and the 3' end, to which the tRNAs corresponding amino acid is attached (by aminoacyl-tRNA synthetases). tRNAs cope with the degeneracy of the genetic code in two manners: having more than one tRNA (with a specific anti-codon) for a particular amino acid; and 'wobble' base-pairing, i.e. permitting non-standard base-pairing at the 3rd anti-codon position.
Source: RNAcentral
GUCGGUAUCGUCUAGUGGACCAGGACACCACCCUUUCACGGUGAAUACACGGGUUCGAAUCCCGUUACCGACUCCA